GACGAACGCUGGCGGCGUGCUUAACACAUGCAAGUCGUACGGUAAGGCCCUUUCGGGGGUACACGAGUGGCGAACGGGUGAGUAACACGUGAGUAACCUGCCCACAACUUUGGGAUAACGCUAGGAAACUGGUGCUAAUACUGGAUAUGUGCUCCUGCUGCAUGGUGGGGGUUGGAAAGCUCCGGCGGUUGUGGAUGGACUCGCGGCCUAUCAGCUUGUUGGUGGGGUAGUGGCCUACCAAGGCGGCGACGGGUAGCCGGCCUGAGAGGGUGACCGGCCACAGUGGGACUGAGAUACGGCCCAGACUCCUACGGGAGGCAGCAGUGGGGAAUAUUGCACAAGGGGCGCAAGCCUGAUGCAGCAACGCCGCGUGCGGGAGGACGGCCUUCGGGUUGUAAACCGCUUUCAGCAGGGACGAAGCUUUUUGUGACGGUACCUGCAGAAGAAGCACCGGCUAACUACGUG
RNAcentral lists this ribosomal RNA (465 nucleotides) under uncultured bacterium. RNAcentral's name for it is "partial 16S ribosomal RNA". It matches the Rfam family "Bacterial small subunit ribosomal RNA", at positions 28 to 507 of the family's 1533-position model. The record is from RNAcentral.